Molecule: ribosomal RNA, 506 nt
Filed under: uncultured bacterium
Lineage: Bacteria
Description: partial 16S ribosomal RNA
Rfam family: Bacterial small subunit ribosomal RNA
Source: RNAcentral
GAUGAACGCUAGCUACAGGCUUAACACAUGCAAGUCGAGGGGUAACGAGAGGAAAGCUUGCUUUCCUUGUUGACGACCGGCGCACGGGUGAGUAACGCGUAUCCAACCUGCCCCCAACUAGGGAAUAACCUUGCGAAAGUAAGACUAAUACCCUAUAAUUUCCUCAGAUGUCAUCUGACGAGGAAUAAAGAUUUAUCGGUUGUGGAUGGGGAUGCGUCUGAUUAGCUUGUUAGCGGGGUAACGGCACACCAAGGCAACGAUCAGUAGGGGUUCUGAGAGGAAGGUCCCCCACAUUGGAACUGAGACACGUUCCAAACUCCUACGGGAGGCAGCAGUGAGUAAUAUUUGUCAAUGGGCGGAAGCCUGAACCAGCCAAGUAGCGUGCAGGAUGACGGCCCUAUGGGUUGUAAACUGCUUUUAUACAGGAAUAAAGUUAGCCACGUGUGGUUAUUUGUAGGUACUGUAUGAAUAAGGACCGGCUAAUUCCGUGCCAGGCGCCGCGGUAA